CUCAGAACGAACGCUGGCGGCAUGGAUUAGGCAUGCAAGUUGAACGAACUCCUUCGGGAGUGAGUAGCGGAAGGGUGAGGAACGCGUGAGUAAUCUGCCCCCCAGUUGGGAAUAACAGUUGGAAACGACUGCUAAUACCGAAUGUGGCUUAAGCUUCGCCUGGAGCUUUGGCUAAAGAUUUAUCGCUGGGGGAUGAGCUCGCGUCCCAUUAGGUAGUUGGUGAGGUAACGGCUCACCAAGCCGACGAUGGGUAGCUGGUCUGAGAGGAUGGUCAGCCACACUGGGACUGAGACACUGCCCAGACUCCUACGGGAGGCUGCAGUCGAGAAUCUUGGGCAAUGCGCGAAAGCGUGACCCAGCAAUGCCGCGUGUAUGAUGAAGGCCCUCGGGUCGUAAAGUACUGUCUCCCGUGACGAAAUUUGACGGUAGCGGGGAAGGAAGCCACGGCUAACUACGUGCCAGCCGCCGC
This 469-nucleotide ribosomal RNA is filed under the name uncultured bacterium. Its description in RNAcentral is "bacterial SSU rRNA". It matches the Rfam family "Bacterial small subunit ribosomal RNA", at positions 23 to 518 of the family's 1533-position model. The record is from RNAcentral.